RNAcentral lists this ribosomal RNA (493 nucleotides) under uncultured bacterium. Its description in RNAcentral is "partial 16S ribosomal RNA". It matches the Rfam family "Bacterial small subunit ribosomal RNA", at positions 28 to 506 of the family's 1533-position model. The record is from RNAcentral.
GACGAACGCUGGCGGCGUGCUUAACACAUGCAAGUCGAACGGUGAAGCGCCUUCCUUUUUGGUGGGUGUGGAUGAGUGGCGAACGGGUGAGUAACACGUGAGUAACCUGCCCCCUUCUUCUGGAUAACCGCAUGAAAGUGUGGCUAAUACGGGAUAUUCUGGGUCUGUCGCAUGAUGGGUCUGGGAAAGAUAUUGUUUCGGUGGGGGAUGGGCUCGCGGCCUAUCAGCUUGUUGGUGGGGUGAUGGCCUACCAAGGCGGUGACGGGUAGCCGGCCUGAGAGGGUGGACGGUCACACUGGGACUGAGGCACGGCCCAGACUCCUACGGGAGGCAGCAGUGGGGAAUAUUGCGCAAUGGGCGCAAGCCUGAUGCAGCGACGCCGCGUGAGGGAUGGAGGCCUUCGGGUUGUGAACCUCUUUCGCCAGUGAAGCAGGCCUGCCUCGUUUGUGGGUGGGUUGACGGUAGCUGGAUAAGAAGCGCCGGCUAACUACGU